RNAcentral lists this unclassified non-coding RNA (254 nucleotides) under Hevea brasiliensis (rubber tree). Lineage: Eukaryota; Viridiplantae; Streptophyta; Magnoliopsida; Malpighiales; Euphorbiaceae. The record is from RNAcentral.
AUUUUCUAGAUAUUGAACUUGAUCGGAUUGAGGGUCUCCUAAAAAUCAAAGAGCAAGAGAGUAGUGGUUGGCAACCACUCUGACGCUCAAGUCAGUAAUCGAAUUAUGAAUCGAGUAUUCAGUAUAAUGGAAGUGAGUAUUUUUGUUUAUAUAUCUGUUUCUGAUGCUUUACCUUGUUUAUAUAGUGAUUGGAAUGAAAUCUUGGCCAAAUCUUCGUCAAUUUCCUAUUUAAGUUGUACCGGUAAUCAUUUUUA